Molecule: ribosomal RNA, 276 nt
Filed under: uncultured prokaryote
Description: partial 16S ribosomal RNA
Rfam family: Bacterial small subunit ribosomal RNA
Source: RNAcentral
UACGUAGGGGGCUAGCGUUAUCCGGAAUUACUGGGCGUAAAGGGUGCGUAGGUGGUCUUUCAAGCCAGAAGUGAAAGGCUACGGCUCAACCGUAGUAAGCUUUUGGAACUGUAAGACUUGAGUGCAGGAGAGGAGAGUGGAAUUCCUAGUGUAGCGGUGAAAUGCGUAGAUAUUAGGAGGAACACCAGUAGCGAAGGCGGCUCUCUGGACUGUAACUGACGCUGAGGCACGAAAGCGUGGGGAGCAAACAGGAUUAGAUACCCGCGUAGUCCCUGA